This 1755-nucleotide ribosomal RNA is filed under the name Triticum aestivum (bread wheat). RNAcentral's name for it is "partial small subunit ribosomal RNA". Lineage: Eukaryota; Viridiplantae; Streptophyta; Magnoliopsida; Poales; Poaceae. The record is from RNAcentral.
CCGCAUUUGGUCUCCGCUGCACUGCAGCAGUCUGCACGACAGGGCAGGGUAGGAAAGGAGGCGACGCCGCCGGCUGCCAGGCGCACCAUGCCUUCCUCCUCCUCCCUCUACCCGGAACACCGCGUGGUCACCGCAGCCGAACUCAUCGCCGGCAAUGAUGCCAAGGAAACGAGGGCCACGGGCGCCGAGGGCUUCGCCUCGCUCCUGCGCACCCAGGACGAGGUCGACGCGCUCUGCGACAAGUACGGCGUGCCCAAGGAGUUCACCGCGCGGCCCGCCGGCGACCUGCGCGCGAACUCGACGCCGCCGCCGGGGGCCAUCUGCGUGUACGCGCGCGCGCUGGAGGCCGGGAUGCGCGUCCCGCUGCGCGGCUUCUUCCGCGAGGUCCUCGCCCACUUCGGCAUCGCGCCGGCGCAGCUCACGCCCAACGGGUGGCGCUUCAUGGCGGGCUUCCUCGUGCUCUGCGAGUCCGCCGGCGUCCCUCCCUCGGUCGCGGUGUUCCGGCGCUUCUUCCACCUGUCCAUCAUGGACCAAAAGCACGAGAAAGGGUGGUACUUUUUCCGAUCCAGGCGGGACAUCACAAGCUUGCCGAACGGGGGUUGCAAAACCACCCCGGGCUGGAGACACGAGUUCUUCUUCCUCUCGUCGCCGGAGCCGUGGCCUUGCGCCGUGGAGUGGGGCGAGCCGUCCAACGGCUCCUUCCUCGACCCGGCGCUCACCGUUGAGGAAAACAAAUCGGUGGUGAAGCUGAGCGCUCACGGUGGCGCCGCUGUUGAUCUCAGGAACCUGCUCCCUGCUGGGCGCUGCCGUAUCUGCGCCGUUGUCGAUCUCAGGAACCUGCUCCCUGCUACGUGCCCACGGCGGCGGCGGAGUAACCUUGCUGCCGCAUCCCCGCCGCCGCGGCCUUCUUCGUGUUACAAAGGCAUGGAUCCCUCCGUCCACGACAUGAUGAAGACUAUGCCGGCGGACAAGGUGGCCGCGCAAGCGUCGGCGUCGGCAAAGAAGAGGACUUGGGAGGAAGCCAGCGGCAGGCACGACGGACACACCACAGACUGGGAUGGCGGACGGGAGCUGCUGCAGGAAACCGUCGCGCCGUCGUUGGAGCGCGCGUUCGCGGCGAGCGAGCCUUCCGACGGCGCAGCGAUUCGGCGGGCUGCGAACUGCGUGCUCGAACUUGGGGAGAAGCUGGUGGCCAGGGAGCGCGACGCCGCGGCUCUGCGGGAGCAGCUGGAGGAGGCAAAGGCCGAGCUCGCGGCGGCGAAGUGGGCGGCGGACGUGGAGCUUGAGAAGGCACAGUCCGAGCUCGCUGCGGCGGGAGCGGAGCUGGAGAAGACCAAAGCGGAGCUCGCGGCGGUGGAGGCGGAGGUGGUGAAGACGAAGGCCGAGCUCUCCGCGUCUCUUGUGGAGGCUGAGCUCGCCGCGGCAAAGCAAGCGGCGGAGGCGGUGAAGACGAAGGCCGAGCGCGCUGCGGCCUGGGAGGAGGUGGUGAAGACGAAGGACGAGCUCGCCGCCGCGGAGGCAGAGCUGGUGCAGGCCAAGGCCGAGCUCACCGCGGCGAAGCGCGCCGCGGAGACGGAGCUGGUGAAGACUAAGGCCAAGCUUGCCGCGGUGGAGGCGGAGCUGGAGAGCGCCAAGGCGGCAGCGGUGCAGCAGUUCCUGGCCUCCGAGGAGCAGGUGCGCCAGCGCGCGGAGGACGCGCUGGAGGGGUACAAGCGGUGGCGAGGUCAUCAAGCUCCGGCUGGCCGUGCUGCCUGA